Molecule: long non-coding RNA, 2789 nt
Organism: Mauremys reevesii (Reeves's turtle)
Lineage: Eukaryota; Metazoa; Chordata; Testudines; Geoemydidae
Exons: 4
Source: RefSeq, a predicted model, not a curated record
AGGAAAUCUGCAAUCUCUCCCCCUGAGGUAAGGGAGAAGAUAGGGCAUGGGAAUCCAGGAAGAACCUUAGUAGGCCUGAGAGGGGAGUCUGACUAGGAAGGCUGAAGAAUGAAAAGCUUGGAGAAGCACAGUAGAAAUAGUGCAGGGGUGAAAGCAGUAAGGUUAGUGUAGCUGCAAACCUGACCUGCUCGCUACAGGGCCCUGGACUGGAUCCCAGUGUAGAGGACGGGUUGGGUUCCCCUAUCAUCCACUGCAGAAUGGGAUUGCUAGUGGCAGUGAAGGGGAAGACUGCCUGAGUCACUGUGGGAGUGAUGCAGUCAGUGCAGUGGGCAUGCGGAUGCCAGUGCAGAAGGACUCCGAAAAAACUUGCCCGGAAGGGGAAAACAGAGAGUGACUUGGCCGGAGGGCUGAGUCAUGAGGCAGCCGUACUGUGAGAAGAAAGGGGACACUGAACUGGGCGGAGCUAAUCACCAGGACACACCACACAGCAGAUCAACCUGUCCUCUGGAAGGCAAGAUUUCCUCCCCUUCUUGUGCAUCGUGUUAACAAUGGAAAGGUUCAGCUCUGCAGAGCAUGUAUUGGCGAGAGUCUGUUCAAGGCUCUGUAUGGGCUCAAUCUCUCACCCAUUUGAAGUCCAUGGAAGUGUUGCCUGUGAGUUCCCAGGAACAGGAUCAUACUUUAUAUGAACAGCUGACAGGGGACAGUGGGGGAACCACUAAGGCUUCCCUUGGUUAUACAGGGAGAAGAGGAGAGAGGGAGCUUCCUUGAAGCUUUACUUAAAGCACCUUCACAUGUUAUAACUGAUCUCAGCUGAGUUUUCUUCCCCAAUCAAGCAUGGAUUUAGUGGCGUAAGGAGAAGAAACAAGUGGCAGGAGCAGAUGAACUCUCAAGAAGCAGUGAUCCUGUUGCCAUUCACACAGUCUCAGUAAUAUAGAUUCACGAAAGAGAAAUACAAACAAUAUAUGCUAUAUAAGCAGAAUUGCCUCUAAGUAGCAAGCUUUUCAAAGACUUCCAUGAAAUGGCAGGAGUUCUCUAAUAGAUAUGUUUUUAAAAGGCUGUCAGUUGAAAUGGGAAUGGUAUUCCAGAUAUCAUCUGUCUGGUUCUCAAGACAAAGCAUAAAGCAUAACCUAGUAUAUAAAUGUCACAAUGAAACAACUGGUGCUAAUUUUCCAGUUAUAAAUGAGUAUGACUAUAUUGCCUUUGCACUCCCUGAUGACUACUAUCCAAAAGACACGUUAACGCAGUUGAAGCAACUAUUUUCUCUCCUGCUGUUAUGACAACUAGGAUCUUAACUUUUUAGAACUGAUGAUCUUGCAAGGAAGUCAAGAAACUAAAGAAUGCGUGUCAGCAGUGAUAGAUGCAAAGUACUGUACAGGAGCUUAAAUAGUUUUGAGUUAGUAUGUCUAAAAGAGCCUGGAUUGUUUAAAUGAGCCUUAGCAUAAACUACGUGUUCCAGUGCAUUCUGCGUGGAUCUGUGCAGCCAUUCAGAGCAAACCAUUUUUUCCGUUCGUGAAUUCUCUGUUUUUCAUAAUUGUUCACUUUUUGCCUGCAUUUCAGCCAAUGGGUUGUUCACAAACUACUUGUUUUGACUAUAUCCUCAACUAUUUCUCUUUUUAUUCAUAAUUUGUGGUAUGUGAUUGGUUCCUACAUAACAUGAUAUUGUUUCUGUUGCCUAACUGGAUUAUUGAAGUGUUAUAAAGGAUGUGAACAUAGAGGAAUAGCAUAGAAUGAAUACUCCCACUUGUAUGUUAAUACCUGUGUUCACAUGAGAAUCUCUGCAUCUGCAUGAAGUACAACCAUUUCCCAAAAGUGUGUGAACAAAACCCUGCUUGCACCAACGUUCUCAUGACACUGACUGUGGCUAAACCAAACAGCUAUUUGGGAGUUGACCUGAAACUUGUUUUGUAGUAUUUGUCCGGCUUGAACUAUGAAGAUCAGAGGAAAAAGUUGGACAGCAAAUCUUCAAGCAGGGAAAUUCUGCUGUUCUUUGAUAACUGUUCAGCACACGUGACUCAAAAUCAUUCUUCUGCCACCAAAUUGUACAAGGUUAAUUUGUCUAGUGUAUCAAUGCCUGAUCCACAACUGCAACCUACAUAAUUAAAUACAAUUACUGUUACAUAAUCAUUCACACUGCUCAUACCGAUCAGAAAGGAACUGUUAACCCUUCAAGAACCAUCCUGAGCACUUGCUAAAUGAAGCGUGUUAGACAGCAAACCAGAGACUCUUUAGCACUAUGCUUUUCCCCAGACCUUGAACAGCCAUUAGGUAAUGAUCUCACGUAUUAGGAACCCCUUUGCUGGUAUGACUCCUGAACUUCUGAGAAAUGAACAGCAGAACAAUGCUUCAGUGAACCAUCAUACAGAAACCACUGGCAACUAAAAUAUGCAAGGAUGUAAUGCAGAAACUGUUCUCAAGAGGUGGUGGCAUGACGAUGGACACGUCAUUCUGUCUGAUACUCGAGGGGAUGCAAAAUAUGAUCAACAAGAUCUGAUGUGGUACAGAAAACUGAGAGACUGAACACUAGGUAGUUUUUAUGAAUCUGAAUCGUGCCUGGAGCUUCUGUCUGACACCGCUGGAAAGUAAAUUGAAAUGACUUUGAGAAAUGCUCCUCUGAUCCCUUCAAAGAAAAGAUUCCAGCUGAGUUCAGUUGGAGACUUUUCCUGGGCAAAGGUUACAAGACAUAGCAGUUUGAGUUCUCUUAUUCAAGAUAACAUGCUUUAGAUAAUAAUCAUCAUACUCUGCUUUUAUUAUUAUGACUCUUUGAUAAAAUAAUGAAUAAAUCAUUUAUA